UACGUAGGUGGCGAGCGUUGUCCGGAUUUACUGGGCGUAAAGGGAGCGUAGGCGGACUUUUAAGUGAGAUGUGAAAUACCCGGGCUCAACUUGGGUGCUGCAUUUCAAACUGGAAGUCUAGAGUGCAGGAGAGGAGAAUGGAAUUCCUAGUGUAGCGGUGAAAUUCGUAGAGAUUAGGAAGAACACCAGUGGCGAAGGCGAUUCUCUGGACUGUAACUGACGCUGAGGCUCGAAAGCGUGUGGAGCAAACAGGAUUAGAUA
This 261-nucleotide ribosomal RNA is filed under the name uncultured prokaryote. RNAcentral describes it as "partial 16S ribosomal RNA". It matches the Rfam family "Bacterial small subunit ribosomal RNA", at positions 524 to 784 of the family's 1533-position model. The record is from RNAcentral.